AGUGUGAACCAGACAUCACUCUCUUGAUACUAAUAGAAAUCAUGUAUAAAACCUGAAGGUUUGUCAAUCUGUCCUGAUCUAAAUAUUAAAACUGUGUUUUCUUUAUAGGUGUUUGGAUGAUGAAACUUGACGAGCUCCAAUUUGGCUUGGAUUACAGUACUUCAGAAGACUUUCUGAACUUGCCAGGCAACCCUCCCCCUAGACUUUGGGGACAGAGGAGCUUAAAUUUAUAUUUCCAGUGUCACACAAGGAGAAAGAAUGGAGUUGGCUGCUUUGUCCAAGUAAUGAAAAUCAAUGCUGUGUUGUUCUUGGAAGGAGCGCUCAAAAGGAAAGCCUGGCAUAUAGAUCUUGGUUUAGAGACAGAUUUUGCCUAGGAAGACUGUGCCCAGGGGAAGAUACAGGAAGAAGGAGAAGAGGUGAUGCUACAAGCUUCCUGACCUCCAGAGUGGGACUGAAGCUUUGUAACAAGAUUUAUCUGGAAAAUGUGACUGACAGGAGCAGCUUACUCACCAUUAGAUAAGUAUUGGAGAUGACUCAUGCUGGAGUAUUGGUAGCUGUGCUGCUGAGAUGGAUAUCCUGUUGUAUAACUGCUAUAGUGUGAUGCCAAGAACCAGGAACCUUAAUUUCACUAUCCAGGCUUUUCUGUGAAAGUGCUUUGGGUCUUUGGCACCUUUUCUCCUUGGUUUGUCCAUCUAAAGGGCUCACAAGGGGAGGUUUUGCUUCCCCCAGUGGGGUACAGGGUAUGGGGCAGCUCAUGUUACCUUGAAAUGAAAGCUAAUUGAAAGGCUGUAGCUUUAUUGCUGUUCUUCAGGACGUGCAAUAUUUGUCUUUUUCAUAGAUGUCAUUAGCAUCUUUCUUCGAUUCUUUGGUUUUUUUUGUUUUGUUUGUGUUUUUUCAGAGCCAUUAAACCCUUUCUUCAGUGGAACAAACCAGAAGGUCCAGAAACAGAUUUUCUAACUAUGGAAGCUCUUCUGAGGAGCCACAUUAUGUGCUGCUGCCCCUGGGAUGGGAUGCAGAGCAAGGAGUGAAGAAGAGCUGUGAUGUGCUACUGAAAAUUGCUUUAGUGAGGAGAGGGGCUUUCUGGCAUGUCAUGUGGUGCUGAAAGACAUUUUACUCUGAGCAGCAAAAAUCCUUAUCUUCUUUUUUUUUUUUUU
Cyanistes caeruleus (blue tit) is the source of this 1154-nucleotide non-coding RNA. The record is from RefSeq and is a predicted model, not a curated record. NCBI's taxonomy places the organism in Eukaryota, Metazoa, Chordata, Aves, Passeriformes, Paridae.